AAAAAUAUAUUAAAUUUAGAAUUUAAAGGUAGUUUCUUAAACUGUUUACUAAAUUUUUAGUUUUUCUC
This 68-nucleotide transfer RNA is filed under the name Liposcelis bostrychophila. Its description in RNAcentral is "tRNA-Lys". The record is from RNAcentral. Lineage: Eukaryota; Metazoa; Arthropoda; Insecta; Psocodea; Liposcelididae.